GACGAACGCUGGCGGCGUGCUUAACACAUGCAAGUCGAACGGAAAGGCCCUGCUUUUGUGGGGUGCUCGAGUGGCGAACGGGUGAGUAACACGUGAGUAACCUGCCCUUAACUUUGGGAUAACGUCAAGAAACUGGGGCUAAUACCGGAUAGGAGCUCCAGCUGCAUGGUGGUGGUUGGAAAGGUUCAGCGGUUGGGGAUGGACUCGCGGGUUAUCAGCUUGUUGGUGUGGUAGUGGCAUACCAAGGCUGUGACGGAUAGCCGGCAUGAGAGGGUGGACGGGGACAUUGGGACUGAGAGACGGACCAGAAUCCUACGGGCGGCAGUGGUGGGGAGUAUGACACAAUGGGCGGAAGCCUGAUGCGGCAGCGCCGCGUGCGUGAUGACGGGCUUCGAGUUGUAAACCGCUUUCGCAGGUGAUGAAGCGUGAGUGACGGUAAUGAGUAAGGAAGCACCGGCUAACUACGUG
RNAcentral lists this ribosomal RNA (468 nucleotides) under uncultured bacterium. RNAcentral describes it as "partial 16S ribosomal RNA". It matches the Rfam family "Bacterial small subunit ribosomal RNA", at positions 28 to 507 of the family's 1533-position model. The record is from RNAcentral.